Salarias fasciatus (jewelled blenny) is the source of this 153-nucleotide long non-coding RNA. RefSeq lists it as uncharacterized. The transcript has 3 exons. NCBI's taxonomy places the organism in Eukaryota, Metazoa, Chordata, Actinopteri, Blenniiformes, Blenniidae. The record is from RefSeq and is a predicted model, not a curated record.
CUAUGACAGACUAAUUCCUCAGGCCAUCAAAGAUGAAGCUGCUUCUGGCAGGACAUCCUCCACCUCUGAGACUGUGACAGUGAGAAGCAGCUCUAUUAGGGACGAUGAUGAUCUGUACAACAGUCUCCGGACGAAAUCCUCUGACUUCUCCUC